This 3683-nucleotide long non-coding RNA is filed under the name Octopus vulgaris (common octopus). Lineage: Eukaryota; Metazoa; Mollusca; Cephalopoda; Octopoda; Octopodidae. The record is from RNAcentral.
GGUAUAGCUUACGAUUACAUCGGAAUUUAAUGUGCAAAGUAAAACUGUUGCGCCCGUACACAUACAGACAGGCAUCACACUUUUUUUCGAUAUGAUAUUUGUCUGUAUGUAAGUGUGCGAACUCACAAUUUUUUCUCUCUUUUUCUUUCAUAUUAAAUUCUGAUGUUUUUGUAAUCACACUAUCUGAAGCGUAUUUGUAGAAAAUUUCGUUAAACAGUAUCUAUUUUUUCUGCAAGUUAUGAGAAAACAAAGUUGAUGUGUGUGUCACAUUUGUGUAGGUAAACUAUCUGUACAUACAUACAACACAACACAACAUACGUACACAAAACGACAAAAUAAAUCGAAUUAGAUAAACGACUGAAAUAACCCAGAUAAAAUAUUUUACUGAUUUAUAUCUCGAAGAUUAUAUUUUUCCAAAAAGUCCUCUUUUAGUUCCCACAUAUGCGAACGCCAAUGGCUUGCACGCACAUACACAAAUCCCUAAUCUCUCACACACGUACAUGCAGCUAAUUGUCAUCUGCGCACGCGGUUGUCAGUUGAGUUGUGUAUGUGAAUGAGGAUGAAGUUUGUAGAUGCUAGGAACGUUCGUUUAGAUCUCUCUGUCUCUUUCACAGUCUCUCUACAUCUGUCCCUAUCAUUGCCUGUCUUCAGUCUCUCUUUUCUUCCCUCUCUAUCACACACACUUUUACCACCCUCUUUUCACAGGGUGAAAGCUUAUUUACACCACAAUGAUUUACCAUUAGAACUUCAACAUAUAUAGAGCUGUAGGUUAGCAGAAUCGCCAAGAGUGUCUAGAAACAGCAAUCCCCCCCCCACUUACUAUGAUACUAAUCGUAACCUAUGCUAUGCCCUCCCACCUCAUCUUACACCUUUGGAAGAUUCGUUAGUACGCCGAGCAAAAUGCUUAUCGACAUUUCGUCUUUGUUUUGAGUUUAAAUUCCGCCGGGUCAACUUUGUUUUUCAUCCUUUGGGGAUCGAUAAAAUAAGAACCAGUUGAGCAAUAGGGUCGAUGUCAUCGACUUACCCAGUCCCCUGCAACUACUGGCUUUGAGCCAAAAUUUGAAACAAUUAUUACUAUUACUAUUAUUAUUAUAUGAAACUCUCAUAGCUUAUUUUGCUGGUUAUGAUGGAAAGUGUCAGCUGUCCUCAGCCAGCAGACCAAGGUGAUACUUGUUUACUAGUCAUGUUUCAAGAACCCUGCAAAGAAUUCUUGCAGUUUCAAGCGAUGCUGGUUUACCUUCACACUUGCGGUACGUCGUGCACCUGUACAGGUAAUGUCGAUUUGGUGGAGGGAGUGAUCUUAUGUGAACACAAACAUUUGAUCACUAUAAACAAACCAUGUGUGGUUGUUUAACAAGAAAUUGCCGAACCUUCGUACGCUGUCAAACGACAGGAGAGUUCGUGAUCAUUAUUAAGUAAUCGACUAAUCCCUCUCCCCAAAUUUCAGGCCUAUUUUCCUUUUUUUUAUUGUGGACGGUGAUCAAUAAUAUAAGAAGAAUUGACAGGAGAUAAUAACAUAUAACAAAAGAUACUAAUAUAAGAUGGACUAGAUAACUAUUCCCCAUCAUAAAAAUUGUGUGCAAGCAUGUGUAUUGAAAAACUAGAAAGUAAAAAUUAAUAAUAAAUCAAUGAAACUGUUGUAAUAGUUGUUAAAAUAUUACGGAUAUUAAGAUAGAGUAGAUACCAGCUUACCGUUAGAAAGUUUAUACGUUUGUACGUGUGUGUGUGUGUAAUAGACCAGAAAGUGAUAUUAAUUAAUAAAUCGAUUGCAAAGUGAUUGUUGUAAAAGUACUCUAUAGAGAUUUUAAGGCGGCGAGCUGGCAGAAACGUUAGCACGCCGGGCGAAAUGCGUGGCCGUAUUUCGUCUGCCGUUACGUUCUGCGUUCAAAUUCCGCCGAGGUCGACUUUGCCUUUCAUCCUUUCGGGGUCGAUAAAUUAAGUACCAGUUGCGCACUGGGGUCGAUGUAAUCGACUUAAUCCCUUUGUCUGUCCUUGUUUGUCCUCUCUGUGUUUAGCCCCUUGUGGGUAGUAAAGAAAUAUAUAGAGAUUUUAAUGAACAGCUUAUGAUAUUCCAUUUUAUUUACAUGUUUUAAAAAUAGUGGUUUUGAAAAAAAAACUUUAUUAGUUGAAAAAUGACAUAGUAAUAUGUACAAUAAAAAUAUUCAAUAAAUUUUUAUGCACACACACACACACACACACACACAUCCACAAACAUUCAUAUACACACAUAUAUGAUUUUUUAAAAAUAAUUUAGAGGAUGUAAAACUCUGCUGACUCAUUAUUUUUUCUUCUUUCAACUUUUUCUUGAAGAAACUCUGUCCGAAACGUCGAGUUCACUAUACUCUUUUUAGCUAGAGAGAGAGAGAGAGAGAGAGAGAGUGGAGAAAGAGAGAGAGAGAGAGACAGACAGAGACGAAGCAGGAAACGUAAUUGGUGUACUUUAAGCAUUAUAUAAGCGCGCUUUCACACGAAGAUGAAAACCACUUGAUUUAUGGAAACGCUCUUAAAUAUAGAACUUUGAAAAAACUAACCAUGUUUUCUGUGAUUCUUGUUACUAAAUACCUUGACUUGAACUCCGAACUUUAGCUUAUCCCACAAUAUGGUUGAUCAUAUCACUUCGUACGCAGAAUAGGAGUGAAGUGUGGAACUGAUUACGAAGCCCAAAUUAUCUCGUUGUGCUUUCCAGCACACUUUUAAUUAUACAACCCUUAUAUACACACACAUUAAGGUAAAAUAGACUAUCACCAACUAAUACAAUGUAUGAUACCAAUAGUAUAGGUUUCUUAUGUUGCAACAAAAUUUUCAUUGAAGUUUUUUUUCUUCUGAAGCAAUAUCUUCAACAUGUCCCAGAAACUAAUACAAAAAUAAAUAAUGUAAAAGAGGAAAAAAGGUCCAAUUAUGUGCAAUUUAAUCAGGUUUUUUAAAAAAUUGAAUUAUGAAUUAAUUCUUAUUUAAGAUUUUCAUUCUUAUGAGACAUCCAGAUCUUUGUUUUUUAUUACUACUAUAACAACUAAUAAAUCGAAGAGUGGUUGAUAGCAGAAUCAAUAAUGCGUUGGACAAAGUUCAUCGACAGUUUCAUUCUGGCUCUUCACAUUCAGAGUUCAAAUCCAGUCGAGGUCAACUUUGCCUUUCAUACACCAGGGGAUUCGAUAAAAUAAGUACCAAUCAUGUAUAGGAGUCUAUUUAAUCGCUUAAUUCCCUACUCUGAAUUCGUGGCCAUAUUAGGAAAAAGGAUAAUCGGUGAAGAACGGUUAACGACAGAACUGGUAAAGCUACGGACAAAAUGCCUUGUGGUAUUUAAUUACAUCGCUUUGUGCUUGGAGUUCAAAUCCCGCCGAGAUCGAGUUUAUCUUUCAUCCUUCUAGAAGUCCAUAAAAUAAAGCCCCAAUCAGGUACAGGGGUAAUGUAAUCGAUCAUACGCUUCACUAUCAAAAGAUUGAAGCUCUUUUCCUAUGUUAGAAUUAAUUUUAUUAUUAAACUGUUAACAUGUAAAUAGAUUGUGAUUUGAAAAUAAAAAAUAAUAAAUUGAAAUUUUCUUCCUCACAUUUUUAUACAGACUGAGACAAAUAAAUCACAGCCAGGCACUGCAGAUAGAACCUUUGCGCUCUGAUAUAUCACAAAAUAUUCUUAUAUGAUUUUUUAAAAACAUUCUUGUUGAAUAAAAGUUACAGUUAUAUAUACUC